AAAGAUUCUUCGUUUCUUUACUAUUGUAAUUAAGGAGUUCUACAAGCUGCAAUUGAAUUCCAAUCCAAAUAACCCAAGUAGCAUAACACGGUAGGAGCUUGUACCUUGUAGGUAUGGCACAAACGGAAUUGAAGUAGUUGGGACAUAGGUGUGAUGUAAGGAUGCUGGAGUUGAGCCUUCCCUAUCCAAGGAAGCCUGUUAUAGUCCUGAAAUAGCUAGCAAUGAU
This is a non-coding RNA of Pelobates cultripes (western spadefoot toad), 226 nucleotides long. Lineage: Eukaryota; Metazoa; Chordata; Amphibia; Anura; Pelobatidae. The record is from the annotation of a GenBank genome assembly.